RNAcentral lists this ribosomal RNA (1149 nucleotides) under metagenome. RNAcentral's name for it is "bacterial SSU rRNA". It matches the Rfam family "Bacterial small subunit ribosomal RNA", at positions 358 to 1520 of the family's 1533-position model. The record is from RNAcentral.
AUAAUUUUCCGCAAUGGGCGAAAGCCUGACGGAGCAAUACCGCGUGAGGGAGGAAGGCCUUUGGGUUGUAAACCUCUUUUCUCAGGGAAGAAGAUCUGACGGUACCUGAGGAAUAAGCAUCGGCUAACUCCGUGCCAGCAGCCGCGGUAAUACGGAGGAUGCAAGCGUUAUCCGGAAUCAUUGGGCGUAAAGCGUCCGCAGGUGGUUUUUCAAGUCUGCUGUUAAAGACUGGAGCUCAACUCCGGAAAGGCAGUGGAAACUGAGAAACUAGAGUUCGGUAGGGGUAGCGGGAAUUCCCAGUGUAGCGGUGAAAUGCGUAGAUAUUGGGAAGAACAUCGGUGGCGAAGGCGCGCUACUGGACCGAAACUGACACUCAGGGACGAAAGCUAGGGGAGCGAAAGGGAUUAGAUACCCCUGUAGUCCUAGCUGUAAACGAUGGAAACUAGGUGUGGCUUGUAUCGACCCGAGCCGUGCCGUAGCUAACGCGUUAAGUUUCCCGCCUGGGGAGUACGCACGCAAGUGUGAAACUCAAAGGAAUUGACGGGGGCCCGCACAAGCGGUGGAGUAUGUGGUUUAAUUCGAUGCAACGCGAAGAACCUUACCAGGGCUUGACAUGUCGCGAAUCUCCUUGAAAGGGGAGAGUGCCUUCGGGAGCGCGAACACAGGUGGUGCAUGGCUGUCGUCAGCUCGUGUCGUGAGAUGUUGGGUUAAGUCCCGCAACGAGCGCAACCCUCGUCUUUAGUUGCCAGCAUUAAGGUGGGCACUUUAGAGAGACUGCCGGUGACAAACCGGAGGAAGGUGGGGAUGACGUCAAGUCAGCAUGCCCCUUACGCCCUGGGCUACACACGUACUACAAUGGUUGGGACAAAGGGCAGCGACCCCGCGAGGGAAAGCGAAUCUCAUCAAACCCAGCCUCAGUUCAGAUUGCAGGCUGCAACUCGCCUGCAUGAAGGAGGAAUCGCUAGUAAUCGCAGGUCAGCAUACUGCGGUGAAUUCGUUCCCGGGCCUUGUACACACCGCCCGUCACACCAUGGAAGCUGGUCACGCCCGAAGUAGUUACCCUAACCUUUCGGGGGGGGGGACUCCUAAGGCAGGGCUAGUGACUGGGGUGAAGUCGUAACAAGGUAGCCGUACCGGAAGGUGUGGCUG